Molecule: ribosomal RNA, 78 nt
Filed under: Heliobacterium chlorum
Lineage: Bacteria; Bacillati; Bacillota; Clostridia; Eubacteriales; Heliobacteriaceae
Description: partial 23S ribosomal RNA
Rfam family: Bacterial large subunit ribosomal RNA
Source: RNAcentral
UAUAAGGUCAAGUUAGUAAGGGCAUACGGUGGAUGCCUAGGCGCUGAGAGGCGAAGAAGGGCGCGGAUAACUGCGAAA